UACCAACAUCUGCUUUGGAAA
Caenorhabditis elegans is the source of this 21-nucleotide non-coding RNA. The record is from Ensembl. NCBI's taxonomy places the organism in Eukaryota, Metazoa, Nematoda, Chromadorea, Rhabditida, Rhabditidae.